GGAUUAGAUACCCUGGUAGUCCACGCCGUAAACGAUGAGAACUAGCUGUCGGAAUGCUUUGACAUUUUGGUAGCGCAGCUAACGCGUUAAGUUCUCCGCCUGAGGAGUACGGCCGCAAGGUUAAAACUUAAAGAAAUUGACGGGGGCCCGCACAAGCGGUGGAGCAUGUGGUUUAAUUCGAUGCAACGCGAAAAACCUUACCUACCCUUGACAUCCUUGGAAGUACUUAGAGAUAGGUACGUGCCUUAACGGGAGCCGAGAGACAGGUGCUGCAUGGCUGUCGUCAGCUCGUGUUG
Molecule: ribosomal RNA, 296 nt
Filed under: uncultured bacterium
Lineage: Bacteria
Description: partial 16S ribosomal RNA
Rfam family: Bacterial small subunit ribosomal RNA
Source: RNAcentral